This 402-nucleotide ribosomal RNA is filed under the name Triticum aestivum (bread wheat). Its description in RNAcentral is "partial small subunit ribosomal RNA". The record is from RNAcentral. Lineage: Eukaryota; Viridiplantae; Streptophyta; Magnoliopsida; Poales; Poaceae.
AUGUUUGCAGAUAUACUAAUCAGCAAACAUCAAAAUGCAUUCAUAAAACACAGGAAUAUUAUGGAUGGCAUCUUAACCCUUCAUGAAAUUCUUCAUCACACACAAAGGAAAAAGAAAAUUGAUGUGGUGUUGAAACUCGAUUUCGAAAAAGCAUAUGAUAAGAUCAAUUGGGAUUUUCUUCUUGAAUGCCACAGCAACAGGGGUUUUGGCCCAGUGUGGUGUGGGUGGAUCCAGAAUAUCCUUAAGAAUAGGACCAUUGAUAUCAAAUUGAAUAAUGAAAAAGGUCCUUACUUCCAAAGCUGCAAGGGAGUGCGACAAGGGGACCCGCACUCACCUUUCUUAUUCAAUAUGGCUGUGGAAGCCUUAUCCAAAAUGAUCCUGAAUGCUCAAAAAGAGAAAUGA